GAUGAACGCUGGCGGCGUGCCUAAUACAUGCAAGUCGAGCGAACAGACGAGGAGCUUGCUCCUCUGACGUUAGCGGCGGACGGGUGAGUAACACGUGGAUAACCUACCUAUAAGACUGGGAUAACUUCGGGAAACCGGAACUAAUACCGGAUAAUAUAUUGAACCGCAUGGUUCAAUAGUGAAAGACGGUUUUGCUGUCACUUAUAGAUGGAUCCGCGCCGCAUUAGCUAGUUGGUAAGGUAACGGUUUACCAAGGCAACGAUGCGUAGCCGACCUGAGAGGGUGAUCGGCCACACUGGAACUGAGACACGGUCCAGACUCCUACGGGAGGCAGCAGUAGGGAAUCUUCCGCAAUGGGCGAAAGCCUGACGGAGCAACGCCGCGUGAGUGAUGAAGGUCUUCGGAUCGUAAAACUCUGUUAUUAGGGAAGAACAAAUGUGUAAGUAACUAUGCACGUCUUGACGGUACCUAAUCAGAAAGCCACGGCUAACUACGUG
Molecule: ribosomal RNA, 497 nt
Filed under: uncultured bacterium
Lineage: Bacteria
Description: partial 16S ribosomal RNA
Rfam family: Bacterial small subunit ribosomal RNA
Source: RNAcentral